This 253-nucleotide ribosomal RNA is filed under the name uncultured bacterium. Its description in RNAcentral is "partial 16S ribosomal RNA". It matches the Rfam family "Bacterial small subunit ribosomal RNA", at positions 524 to 776 of the family's 1533-position model. The record is from RNAcentral.
UACGGAGGGUGCGAGCGUUAAUCGGAAUUACUGGGCGUAAAGCGCACGUAGGCGGUUAGCUAAGUCUGAUGUGAAAGCCCUGGGCUUAACCUGGGAACGGCAUUGGAAACUGGUUGACUGGAGUGUGGUAGAGGGGUGUGGAAUUUCCGGUGUAGCAGUGAAAUGCGUAGAGAUCGGAAGGAACACCAGUGGCGAAGGCGGCACCCUGGACCAACACUGACGCUGAGGUGCGAAAGCGUGGGGAGCAAACAGG